UACGUAGGGGGCAAGCGUUGUCCGGAUUUAUUGGGCGUAAAGAGCGUGUAGGCGGCCAGGUAGGUCAGCUGUGAAAACUCGAGGCUCAACCUCGAGACGCCGGUUGAAACCAUCUGGCUAGAGUCCGGAAGAGGAGAGUGGAAUUCCUGGUGUAGCGGUGAAAUGCGCAGAUAUCAGGAAGAACACCCGUGGCGAAGGCGGCUCUCUAGUACGGUACUGACGCUGAGACGCGAAAGCGUGGGGAGCGAACAGG
RNAcentral lists this ribosomal RNA (253 nucleotides) under uncultured bacterium. RNAcentral describes it as "partial 16S ribosomal RNA". It matches the Rfam family "Bacterial small subunit ribosomal RNA", at positions 524 to 776 of the family's 1533-position model. The record is from RNAcentral.